RNAcentral lists this ribosomal RNA (273 nucleotides) under uncultured bacterium. RNAcentral's name for it is "partial 16S ribosomal RNA". It matches the Rfam family "Bacterial small subunit ribosomal RNA", at positions 502 to 774 of the family's 1533-position model. The record is from RNAcentral.
UUCGUGCCAGCAGCCGCGGUAAUACGAAGGGGGCUAGCGUUGCUCGGAAUGACUGGGCGUAAAGGGCGCGUAGGCGGCGCACUUAGUCGGGCGUGAAAGUCCUGGGCUCAACCUGGGGACGGCGCUCGAUACGGGUGUGCUUGAGUGUGGAAGAGGGUUGUGGAAUUCCCAGUGUAGAGGUGAAAUUCGUAGAUAUUGGGAAGAACACCGGUGGCGAAGGCGGCAACCUGGUCCAUUACUGACGCUGAGGCGCGAAAGCGUGGGGAGCAAACA